UCUAGUCAUGUCUUCGUGCAUCAUAGCAACAGUUUUCAGACCAAAAACUUCAAUGAAUACGCAAAGCUGUUAGGCAUUGAUUUAUUAUACGCUACAAAAGAACCUGUGUGAAACCAACUCAGCCUGCUGUUACCGAAAGCUGUGCAAGCGAAAGAUUUUGAGGACCCAGAAUAAACCAUGAGGAACACAGUUGUGCUUAUCCUGCUUUGUGCAUUGGUUUGGAAUUGUGUAAGUGCAGGUGCUGACCCUGAGAUGCAACAGACGGCCAACGACGCCGAAAAGAGGGAUGUGACGUGCACUUUUAAUGGAAAGCAGUAUUCUCCCGGAGAACACUUCGAUAACGGUUUGUGCUGGUGCGAUGGGGGUGGAUUUGUUCUUUGUGAAUAAAACACUGAAAUCAGAACUCUGCAAUACUGGAUUUUGAAGUGCUUUAGGCUCUUUGGUGUAAUUAGGCAUAACCAACACGAAUGACUAUGUAUAACAAAUGUAUCCUUCUGUUCUUAGGAACAAAUAAAGCAAAAACUCAGAGAC
Molecule: long non-coding RNA, 531 nt
Organism: Nematostella vectensis (starlet sea anemone)
Lineage: Eukaryota; Metazoa; Cnidaria; Anthozoa; Actiniaria; Edwardsiidae
Exons: 3
Source: RefSeq, a predicted model, not a curated record